UGUCGCCGAUGAUGAUGCGCGCCGCCUUUGGUUUCCGAGGCGCGUUGCUCGGGCCGCCGGCAAGAAGCUCUUCGCCUUCGGCGGCGGAGACGAGCAGCGGCUGAGCGGCG
RNAcentral lists this small nucleolar RNA (110 nucleotides) under Oryza sativa (Asian cultivated rice). RNAcentral describes it as "Z255 small nucleolar RNA". The record is from RNAcentral. Lineage: Eukaryota; Viridiplantae; Streptophyta; Magnoliopsida; Poales; Poaceae.